AGGCGAAUAAGAGUUUACGGUGGCUCCUUGGUGUUCAGAAGCGAUGAAGGGCGUGGUUACCAACGAUAUGUUUUGGGAAAGCUGGAAACAAGCCUAGAUCCAAAAAUCCCCCAAUGAGGAAACUUAAUUAUACUAGACUCUACCAGUUAUAGUAGAGAAGGGUAAACCUAGCGAAGUGAAACAUCUUAGUAGCUAGAGGACAGACAAAUUAAUAUGUUGACCCCUAGUAGCGGCGAGCGAACGCGGGAAAAUAGCUCAAACUUUAUUUAUUUUUUAAUAAAGGGUUGUGCAACAGCUUUAUUUUUCAGUAAACCAAUAAUAGAAGAAAAAAUGUGAAAUCGUUUACCAUAGAAGGCGAAAGUCCUGUACUCUAUUAUUGAGCAAACUGAAGUUGAUUGCGAGUAGGUCGGAACACGUGAAAUUCCUGCCGAAUAAGGGUGGACCACUGGUAAG
Molecule: ribosomal RNA, 453 nt
Filed under: Karlodinium veneficum
Lineage: Eukaryota; Dinophyceae; Gymnodiniales; Kareniaceae
Description: partial Bacterial large subunit ribosomal RNA
Rfam family: Bacterial large subunit ribosomal RNA
Source: RNAcentral